GACAAACUGUAGUUAAAUGUUUCCUUUCCACUAGUCUGACAGAAGACAUGUUUUGGAAGCUAAAUAGCCCAAAAACCUCUAAUAUUGAAAAAGAAGAAUAAGUUUUUGCCUGUAGUGUCU
Long non-coding RNA from Etheostoma spectabile (orangethroat darter), 120 nucleotides. RefSeq lists it as uncharacterized. The transcript has 4 exons. Lineage: Eukaryota; Metazoa; Chordata; Actinopteri; Perciformes; Percidae. The record is from RefSeq and is a predicted model, not a curated record.